UCCGGUGACCAUAUCUGGAAGGUCACACUCGUUCCCAUUCCGAACACGACCGUUAAGCUUCCAGAGCCGAUGAUAGUGCCGCAAGGUGCGAAAGCAGGUUAUCGCCGGAU
RNAcentral lists this ribosomal RNA (110 nucleotides) under Planctomycetaceae bacterium. The record is from RNAcentral. Lineage: Bacteria; Pseudomonadati; Planctomycetota; Planctomycetia; Planctomycetales; Planctomycetaceae.